Molecule: ribosomal RNA, 501 nt
Filed under: uncultured bacterium
Lineage: Bacteria
Description: partial 16S ribosomal RNA
Rfam family: Bacterial small subunit ribosomal RNA
Source: RNAcentral
AUUGAACGCUGGCGGAUGCUUUACACAUGCAAGUCGAACGGCAGCAUAGGUGAUUGCACCUGAUGGCGAGUGGCGAACGGGUGAGUAAUACAUCGGAACGUGCCCAGUCGUGGGGGAUAACGUAGCGAAAGUUACGCUAAUACCGCAUACGAUCUACGGAUGAAAGCGGGGGACCGUAAGGCCUCGCGCGAUUGGAGCGGCCGAUGUCAGAUUAGGUAGUUGGUGAGGUAAAGGCUCACCAAGCCGACGAUCUUUAGCUGGUCUGAGAGGACGACCCGCCACACUGGGACUGAGACACGGCACAGAGUCAUACGGGAGGCAGCAGUAGGGAAUUUUGGACAAUGGACGCAAGUCUGAUCCAGCCAUUCCGCGUGCAGGACGAAGGCCUUCGGGUUGUAAACUGCUUUUGUACGGAACGAAAAAGCUCUUACUAAUACUAGGAGUCCAUUACGGUACCGUAAGAAUAAGCACCGGCUAACUACGUGCCAGCCGCCGCAGUAA